AGACCCGAAACCCGGUGAUCUAGCCAUGGGCAGGUUGAAGGUUGGGUAACACUAACUGGAGGACCGAACCGACUAAUGUUGAAAAAUUAGCGGAUGACCUGUGGCUGGGGGUGAAAGGCCAAUCAAACCGGGAGAUAGCUGGUUCUCCCCGAAAGCUAUUUAGGUAGCGCCUCGUGAAUUCAUCUCCGGGGGUAGAGCACUGUUUCGGCUAGGGGGCCAUCCCGGCUUACCAACCCGAUGCAAACUGCGAAUACCGGAGAAUGUUAUCACGGGAGACACACGGCGGGUGCUAACGUCCGUCGUGAAGAGGGAAACAACCCAGACCGCCAGCUAAGGUCCCAAAGUCAUGGUUAAGUGGGAAACGAUGUGGGAAGGCCCAGACAGCCAGGAUGUUGGCUUAGAAGCAGCCAUCAUUUAAAGAAAGCGUAAUAGCUCACUGGUCGAGUCGGCCUGCGCGGAAGAUGUAACGGGGCUAAACCAUGCACCGAAGCUGCGGCAGCGACGCUGAUGCGUUGUUGGGUAGGGGAGCGUUCUGUAAGCCUGCGAAGGUGGCCUGUGAGGGUUGCUGGAGGUAUCAGAAGUGCGAAUGCUGACAUAAGUAACGAUAAAGCGGGUGAAAAGCCCGCUCGCCGGAAGACCAAGGGUUCCUGUCCAACGUUAAUCGGGGCAGGGUGAGUCGACCCCUAAGGCGAGGCCGAAAGGCGUAGUCGAUGGGAAACGGGUUAAUAUUCCCGUACUUGGUGUUACUGCGAAGGGGGGACGGAGAAGGCUAUGUUGGCCGGGCGACGGUUGUCCCGGUUUAAGCGUGUAGGUGUGUGUUCCAGGUAAAUCCGGUUCACUUUAACACUGAGGCGUGAUGACGAGGCACUACGGUGCUGAAGCAACAAAUGCCCUGCUUCCAGGAAAAGCCUCUAAGCAUCAGGUAACAUCAAAUCGUACCCCAAACCGACACAGGUGGUCAGGUAGAGAAUACCAAGGCGCUUGAGAGAACUCGGGUGAAGGAACUAGGCAAAAUGGUGCCGUAACUUCGGGAGAAGGCACGCUGACACGUAGGUGAAGUGAUUUACUCAUGGAGCUGAAGUCAGUCGAAGAUACCAGCUGGCUGCAACUGUUUAUUAAAAACACAGCACUGUGCAAACACGAAAGUGGACGUAUACGGUGUGACGCCUGCCCGGUGCCGGAAGGUUAAUUGAUGGGGUCAGCGCAAGCGAAGCUCCUGAUCGAAGCCCCGGUAAACGGCGGCCGUAACUAUAACGGUCCUAAGGUAGCGAAAUUCCUUGUCGGGUAAGUUCCGACCUGCACGAAUGGCGUAAUGAUGGCCAGGCUGUCUCCACCCGAGACUCAGUGAAAUUGAACUCGCUGUGAAGAUGCAGUGUACCCGCGGCAAGACGGAAAGACCCCGUGAACCUUUACUAUAGCUUGACACUGAACAUUGAGCCUUGAUGUGUAGGAUAGGUGGGAGGCUUUGAAGUGUGGACGCCAGUCUGCAUGGAGCCGGCCUUGAAAUACCACCCUUUAAUGUUUGAUGUUCUAACGUGGACCCGUGAUCCGGGUUGCGGACAGUGUCUGGUGGGUAGUUUGACUGGGGCGGUCUCCUCCUAAAGAGUAACGGAGGAGCACGAAGGUUGGCUAAUCCUGGUCGGACAUCAGGAGGUUAGUGCAAUGGCAUAAGCCAGCUUGACUGCGAGCGUGACGGCGCGAGCAGGUGCGAAAGCAGGUCAUAGUGAUCCGGUGGUUCUGAAUGGAAGGGCCAUCGCUCAACGGAUAAAAGGUACUCCGGGGAUAACAGGCUGAUACCGCCCAAGAGUUCAUAUCGACGGCGGUGUUUGGCACCUCGAUGUCGGCUCAUCACAUCCUGGGGCUGAAGUAGGUCCCAAGGGUAUGGCUGUUCGCCAUUUAAAGUGGUACGCGAGCUGGGUUUAGAACGUCGUGAGACAGUUCGGUCCCUAUCUGCCGUGGGCGCUGGAGAACUGAGGGGGGCUGCUCCUAGUACGAGAGGACCGGAGUGGACGCAUCACUGGUGUUCGGGUUGUCAUGCCAAUGGCACUGCCCGGUAGCUAAAUGCGGAAGAGAUAAGUGCUGAAAGCAUCUAAGCACGAAACUUGCCCCGA
Molecule: ribosomal RNA, 2111 nt
Filed under: Salmonella enterica
Lineage: Bacteria; Pseudomonadati; Pseudomonadota; Gammaproteobacteria; Enterobacterales; Enterobacteriaceae
Also listed under: 5 other names
Description: partial 23S ribosomal RNA
Rfam family: Bacterial large subunit ribosomal RNA
Source: RNAcentral